CCGGUUUCCUCCCACAAUCCAAAGAUGUGCAGGUCAGGGUGUUGAUCUGCUAAAUGGAUGUUCAUACUACUCACUGGCCUGUCACAGAUUCUCCUUCAGCUGUCCGAUAACAGAUAACAGAUUGACCACAGAUGAACUCAAGGAUCUGCAGGGAGGAUUUGUGACCUGGUCCUGUAUCUCACUUGACCAUGUCUUGCCAACAUCCCA
Chiloscyllium plagiosum (whitespotted bambooshark) is the source of this 207-nucleotide long non-coding RNA. RefSeq lists it as uncharacterized. The record is from RefSeq and is a predicted model, not a curated record. NCBI's taxonomy places the organism in Eukaryota, Metazoa, Chordata, Chondrichthyes, Orectolobiformes, Hemiscylliidae.